CCGCACGCCCCCCGCCGUCUGGACGCCUCCCGUCGCUCUCGCUUGGGCCACCGCCGCCGCCAGCUCUUUCAUGUCCGCCGCCGCCUCGUCCUAGUCCUCGUCCUCCUCCCUCCUUUCCAGUUCGCUGCCACCACCGCCGCCGCCGCUAGCCCUUUCCAGUCCGCCACCUCCUCCUCCUUGUCCUCCUCCUCCUCCCUCCUUUCCAGUUUGUGCCGAGCGGACUCUGCACCGCGGUGAGCUGUGCCGGAUCCUCGCGGAGCUCUUCCCAAAGUACCCGAUUCAGACGAGCGCAGACGGUGAGGACCAGGAGGAAAUAGGUGCUGUUCUAGACCUGUAGGGCAGUUGGUGUGUCCUGACAAAAGUUAAACUACCUUGAGGUAUAUGAUAUGUUCCUAUUAACAUCUAAACUAGGGAUCUGCACAUAGAAAUGAAAAUAACUUGAUUGGUUUGGAAUACUCGAUCAUCAUAGAUAAUGAAGUGAAACACGGAAAUAAUGGAAUGUAAUCUAUUUUUCAUUGUCUUGCUUCGUGUAUGUCUCCUCGGCAUCGGUAGCUUUGUAUCCUGGACUUCCCUUCACUUUGUUCCAGGCAUAGUUAACCAAUGUGACAGCUAGCUUGAGCCUGAAAUUAGUCAUAUCCUUCUGCACAUAACAAAUACAAAUGCCUGUUAGCCUUAAUGUAAGAUGGGCAUAGAUUGGGUUGCUGAAUUUAUGUUGUUCAACUUACCUGUGUGAAUAAGGAAGAUAAUUUGUUUCCGGUCCAAAGCUCCAUGAAUUUAACCGUGAAUAGUCCACACGAUGCACUGCGAGUUUAUUUGUAUUUACACAAGUUAGGAAGAACUAAUUAUGGGAACCCGAGUAUAUUGACAGGUGUUGAUGUGCUUGUACUUGUCAGUCUGGAUUGUCUUUUUGAUGCAUUCAAUGACUGGCCAUUCUUUGACUUGGGUGUCCUUCCACCUAUGUUCUUUGAUCAAUUGCAGGUCUACAAGGCGUGUCAUACGGUUCUGCAACCCUUGCAACUGAGUUCAAUAGAAUCAUCAGUGGUUGAGGCUUGCCUAUAUGUGUCUCCAUCGCCUGAAGCACGACAUUUCUAGGUUCUACCACUGCCCUUGAUUCCUGCAAGUUAGCAACGGCUGCAAAUUAUGGUAGUCGAGCUCGGAACUGAAUGAAGGCAAGUGGUGGUAUAUGGAGCAUUUCUCUUAUUGAUCCAAACAAUGAGAAUAUCCAAUAACACUUGGAACAAUUCUCAGCUUGCAGAAUACAAUUGAUCGCUACCUGAACCACACCAAAGGCACACCUACAAAUGAAAAAGUUCACGAACCAGGUGUAGAGGUACACCUAAUUCAAUCCUUUCCCUCCCUCGUUAUCAGCUGGGAUUAGUUCUUGUUUGUAUAUCCUUAUUCUAUUUUCUAUUUAAUUCCUACUUUGUAGCUGUUUUCAGUAUGGUCGCAUAAAUUCACCCAACCUAGUGCUUAUGAGCUGAUCAGUAUGGUCGCUUGAACCUAGUGCUCCCUGUUCUAUAUGGCUGAUCAUUACCCUCGCAUAGCAUUAGUACCAGUACUCCAAUUGCACCACUCUAUAUGUCUUGAACAAGCACAUGCACAUCACUGUAUAUGUCUUGUUCCUUCUAAGUUGUUUUUCAUAGCAGGCAGCAAGACUUACACGGCUUGUAGAGCUUGGUUGCUUCUUGAUCUGCCUUGGUGGCUCAAAAUUGGUUGAAUGAAUCUGAUCCUGUUCAGUUUUUUUAUAUGUCAUGUCGCAUUGAUAAAACUGAUCAUAAACUUUAUCGUUGCAGAUGAGAUUGAACUUACUGGAUUGAAUGGGAGAGAUGUAAUUGGAUCAAUUAGCGCAGGUGGUGCAUGCUCCUUCUGUUGCGCAGGUGGUGUAUGGUCCUGCUCUUGUGUGUCAGGAUUGAUGGGUGGCACCGAAGAAGUAGCUCCGUCCACAUCCAUGGUGGCUGAGUUGUCUGAUGUGAAGCAAGAUGGUAAACUGCCGCUGCCUGCUGCCUUCCUGCCGCUGCAGCUGCCAAGUUUGUUGUUCAUGUGAGUCCGUGUGAAGCAAGAUUGUUUUUAUUAUCUAACGUCAAGUGUUAGUUUAAAUUAGGUGCUAUGAUAUCCAAACGUGUAGAGUUUGUUUAAAUUAGGCCUCACGUGAAGAGUUUGUUUAAAUUAGGCCUCACGUGAAGAGUUUGUAAGCUAAUACAUGCCUCCAACGACGGGAUAGCACAGUUUCCAACUAACGUUUUUCUGUCAAUGCUUUCCAAGCAAAUUACUGAUACCUUGUCAAUGCGACGGGAUACUCUAA
Setaria italica (foxtail millet) is the source of this 2302-nucleotide long non-coding RNA. RefSeq lists it as uncharacterized. NCBI's taxonomy places the organism in Eukaryota, Viridiplantae, Streptophyta, Magnoliopsida, Poales, Poaceae. The transcript is spliced from 4 exons. The record is from RefSeq and is a predicted model, not a curated record.